UACGUAGGGCGCAAGCGUUGUCCGGAAUUAUUGGGCGUAAAGAGCUCGUUGGCGGCUUGUCACGUCGGGUGUGAAAGCCCGGGGCUUAACCCCGGGUCUGCAUUCGAUACGGGCAGGCUAGAGUGUGGUAGGGGAGAUCGGAAUUCCUGGUGUAGCGGUGAAAUGCGCAGAUAUCAGGAGGAACACCGGUGGCGAAGGCGGAUCUCUGGGCCAUUACUGACGCUGAGGAGCGAAAGCGUGGGGAGCGAACAGG
This 253-nucleotide ribosomal RNA is filed under the name uncultured bacterium. RNAcentral describes it as "partial 16S ribosomal RNA". It matches the Rfam family "Bacterial small subunit ribosomal RNA", at positions 524 to 776 of the family's 1533-position model. The record is from RNAcentral.